GGUUGUAUGGUGUAAUGGUCAGCACGUCGGAUUCUGAUUCCGGAGAUAUUGGUUCGAUUCCUAUUACGACCU
Molecule: transfer RNA, 72 nt
Organism: Sclerotinia borealis F-4128
Lineage: Eukaryota; Fungi; Ascomycota; Leotiomycetes; Helotiales; Sclerotiniaceae
Rfam family: tRNA
About the family: Transfer RNA (tRNA) molecules are approximately 80 nucleotides in length. Their secondary structure includes four short double-helical elements and three loops (D, anti-codon, and T loops).
Source: Rfam